UACGUAGGGACCGAGCGUUGUCCGGAAUCAUUGGGCGUAAAGAGCGUGUAGGCGGCUAUUUAAGUCCUGCGUGAAAUCCUGCGGCUCAACCGCAGACGGUCGUGGGAAACUGGAUGGCUAGAGUGCGGGAGAGGAGAGUGGAAUUCCCGGUGUAGCGGUGAAAUGCGCAGAUAUCGGGAGGAACACCAGUGGCGAAGGCGGCUUCCUGGCCUGUAACUGACGCUGAGACGCGAAAGCGUGGGGAGCGAACCGG
Molecule: ribosomal RNA, 253 nt
Filed under: uncultured bacterium
Lineage: Bacteria
Description: partial 16S ribosomal RNA
Rfam family: Bacterial small subunit ribosomal RNA
Source: RNAcentral